RNAcentral lists this ribosomal RNA (423 nucleotides) under Fusobacteriota bacterium. RNAcentral describes it as "Fusobacteria bacterium partial 16S ribosomal RNA". It matches the Rfam family "Bacterial small subunit ribosomal RNA", at positions 355 to 776 of the family's 1533-position model. Lineage: Bacteria; Fusobacteriati; Fusobacteriota. The record is from RNAcentral.
UGAGGAAUAUUGGUCAAUGGGCGAGAGCCUGAACCAGCCAAGUAGCGUGCAGGAUGACGGCCCUAUGGGUUGUAAACUGCUUUUAUGUGGGGAUAAAGUGCGUGACGUGUCAUGCAUUGCAGGUACCACAUGAAUAAGGACCGGCUAAUUCCGUGCCAGCAGCCGCGGUAAUACGGAAGGUCCGGGCGUUAUCCGGAUUUAUUGGGUUUAAAGGGAGCGUAGGCUGUCUAUUAAGCGUGUUGUGAAAUUUACCGGCUCAACCGGUGGCUUGCAGCGCGAACUGGUCGACUUAGUAUGCAGGAAGUAGGCGGAAUUCAUGGUGUAGCGGUGAAAUGCUUAGAUAUCAUGACGAACUCCGAUUGCGCAGGCAGCUUACUGUAGCAUAACUGACGCUGAUGCUCGAAAGUGCGGGUAUCAAACAGG